RNAcentral lists this ribosomal RNA (550 nucleotides) under uncultured bacterium. RNAcentral's name for it is "bacterial SSU rRNA". It matches the Rfam family "Bacterial small subunit ribosomal RNA", at positions 113 to 659 of the family's 1533-position model. The record is from RNAcentral.
ACGCGUGGGAAUCUACCUAGUAGUGGAGGAUAACUCGGGGAAACUCGAGCUAAUACUGCAUACGCCCUACGGGGGAAAGCGGGGGAUCUUCGGACCUCGCGCUAUUGGAUGAGCCCGCGUUAGAUUAGCUUGUUGGUGAGGUAAUGGCUCACCAAGGCGACGAUCUAUAGCUGGUCUGAGAGGAUGAUCAGCCACAUUGGGACUGAGACACGGCCCAAACUCCUACGGGAGGCAGCAGUGGGGAAUAUUGCGCAAUGGGCGAAAGCCUGACGCAGCCAUGCCGCGUGUGUGAAGAAGGCCUUCGGGUUGUAAAGCACUUUCAAUAGGGAGGAAAGGUUGUAGCUUAAUACGUUGCAACUGUGACGUUACCUAUAGAAGAAGCACCGGCUAACUUCGUGCCAGCAGCCGCGGUAAUACGGAGGGUGCGAGCGUUAAUCGGAAUUACUGGGCGUAAAGCGCGCGUAGGCGGCUUCGUCAGUCAGAUGUGAAAGCCCCGGGCUCAACCUGGGAACUGCAUUUGAUACUGCGGAGCUAGAGUAUGGUAGAGGAU